AUUGAACGCUGGCGGAAUGCUUUACACAUGCAAGUCGAGCGGCAGCGCGUCCUUCGGGCUGUCGGCUAGCGGCGAACGGGUGAGUAAUGCAUCGGAACAUGCCCAGUCGUGUGGGCUAACACUUCGAAAGAAGUGCUAAUACCGCAUCCGUCCUGAGGUGGAAAGCGGGGGAUCUCAAGACCUCGCGCGAUUGGUUUGUCCGAUGUCAGAUUAGCUAGUUGGUGGGGUAAAGGCCUACCAAGGCGACGAUCUGUAGCUGGUCUGAGAGGAUGAUCAGCCACACUGGGACUGAGACACGGCCCAGACUCCUACGGGAGGCAGCAGUAGGGGAUUUUGGACAAUGGGGGCAACCGUGAGCCAGCCAUUGCGAGGGAGUGAAGAAGGCCUUCGGGUUGUAAAGCUCUUUCGGUAGGAACGAAACGGUGGGCUCUGACAUAGUCCGCUAAUGACGGUACCUGAAGAAGAAGCACCGGCUAACUACGUG
Molecule: ribosomal RNA, 484 nt
Filed under: uncultured bacterium
Lineage: Bacteria
Description: partial 16S ribosomal RNA
Rfam family: Bacterial small subunit ribosomal RNA
Source: RNAcentral